This 461-nucleotide ribosomal RNA is filed under the name uncultured Chloroflexota bacterium. RNAcentral describes it as "bacterial SSU rRNA". It matches the Rfam family "Bacterial small subunit ribosomal RNA", at positions 46 to 526 of the family's 1533-position model. The record is from RNAcentral. Lineage: Bacteria; Bacillati; Chloroflexota.
GCUUAACACAUGCAAGUCGAACGGUGAACCCGCUUCGGUGGGGGAUCAGUGGCGAACGGGUGAGUAACACGUGGGCAACCUGCCCUCAGCUCUGGGAUAACCAUGGGAAACUGUGGCUAAUACCGCAUGGGCUUGUUAGACUUGGCGUCUAACGAGUAAAGCUUUAGUGCUUCGAGAGGGGCCUGCGUCCGAUUAGGUAGUUGGUGAGGUAAUGGCUCACCAAGCCGAUGAUCGGUAGCUGGUCUGAGAGGACGAUCAGCCACACGGGAACUGAGAAACGGUCCCGACUCCUACGGGGGGCAGCAGUGAGGAAUAUUGGGCAAUGGACGCAAGUCUGACCCAGCAACGCCGCGUGGAGGAUGAAGGUUCUUGGAUCGUAAACUCCUUUUGCAGGGGAAAAGCAAGGAUGGUACCCUGAGAAUAAGUCACGGCUAACUACGUGCCAGCCGCCGCGGUAAUAC